GCACAAGCGGAGGAACAUGUGGUUUAAUUCGAUGAUACGCGAGGAACCUUACCUGGGCUUAAAUGCAGAGUGCAUGAAGUGGAAACACUUCUUCCCUUCGGGCUCUUUGCAAGGUGCUGCAUGGUUGUCGUCAGCUCGUGCCGUGAGGUGUCGGGUUAAGUCCCAUAACGAGCGCAACCCUUAUCGUUAGUUGCCAGCGGGUAAAGCCGGGAACUCUAGCGAAACUGCCGGUGUAAACCGAGAGGAAGGUGGGGAUGACGUCAAAUCAGCACGGCCCUUAUGUCCAGGGCUACACACGUGUUACAAUGGCCGGUACAGAGGGCAGCUACCUGGAGACAGGAUGCGAAUCUCGAAAGCCGGUCUCAGUUCGGAUCGGAGUCUGCAACUCGACUCCGUGAAGCUGGAUUCGCUAGUAAUCGCGCAUCAGCCAUGGCGCGGUGAAUACGUUCCCGGGCCUU
RNAcentral lists this ribosomal RNA (458 nucleotides) under uncultured Sphingobacteriales bacterium. RNAcentral describes it as "bacterial SSU rRNA". It matches the Rfam family "Bacterial small subunit ribosomal RNA", at positions 923 to 1382 of the family's 1533-position model. The record is from RNAcentral. Lineage: Bacteria; Pseudomonadati; Bacteroidota; Sphingobacteriia; Sphingobacteriales.